This is a long non-coding RNA of Marmota flaviventris (yellow-bellied marmot), 516 nucleotides long. RefSeq lists it as uncharacterized. NCBI's taxonomy places the organism in Eukaryota, Metazoa, Chordata, Mammalia, Rodentia, Sciuridae. The record is from RefSeq and is a predicted model, not a curated record.
AGUCUGUGUCAGGAAUUCUCCAGCCACAGCUGGCCUGGUGGAGAUGCAAAACAUGCACCCGCCCUGCAAUCCUGUCCCAGAUGAGAGGCUUCAGGGGAUGCUAAACUCCCAGGCAGGCGGAGGCAGAAGAGAGUGAGACACUUGCUUUAGUUGUUGUGACCAAACUUUACUGAUGUUUCUGCAUGAUGUUAUUUCUGGCAGCAUCUUGUUUUAACCAGUGUGGACAAGUUAUUUCAUUGGAUGGAUGAGCUCUAUCCUCAGUAGAAGAGAUCACACUGGACUAAGUUCACCAGACUCCACAGCACUCUGUUAUUCUAUGAAGUGGCUUAAGUACAAGAAUCUUACUGGACUACAUUGGAGGAAUUCUCAGCAAUGAGCACUCUCUGCUAAAUGAAGCGACACUGAGACCCUGGAGGAGGACAGAGUCACAAUAUGACACUGAACGAACCUAUGGAAGUUUCAACCAGAGUAUGUUUAUGUUUGUUAGUAUGAGAAAUAAAUUUCUAUCUCACUAAC